GCUGGGGUGGUAGAGUGGUCAAUUACACUUGGCUGUAAACCAAGCGCCUUCGGGCUACGGGGGUUCGAAUCCCUCCCCCAGCA
Molecule: transfer RNA, 83 nt
Filed under: Candidatus Berkelbacteria bacterium
Lineage: Bacteria; Candidatus Berkelbacteria
Description: tRNA-Tyr
Rfam family: tRNA
About the family: Transfer RNA (tRNA) molecules are approximately 80 nucleotides in length. Their secondary structure includes four short double-helical elements and three loops (D, anti-codon, and T loops).
Source: RNAcentral